Taeniopygia guttata (zebra finch) is the source of this 771-nucleotide long non-coding RNA. RefSeq lists it as uncharacterized. The record is from RefSeq and is a predicted model, not a curated record. NCBI's taxonomy places the organism in Eukaryota, Metazoa, Chordata, Aves, Passeriformes, Estrildidae.
CGCGCUUGGCACAGAGGGAAAAAAACAACGCGCCUCUAUUGUUGAGGGUGCCUUGUACCUGGGCCGAGAAGUGCGGCGGAGCUGAGACCCCGCGGGAGGGACCCCGGCUCCGGGCUGGGCUCGGGGGGUUUGGGGAGGAACAUCCAGCCUGGGGCCGGCAGUGCGCGGAGGAGGAGGAGGAGGAGGAGGAAAGUGGUGGGGCAGGGUAAUGCGUGGAGAAGCAGCGUCGCUUAUACAAGAUGUUGAUGGAAUUUACUAUAUUAUUAAAGGAAAAAAAAAAUCCCCUUUCAAGAAUAAAGUGUAUCAACUUACAACACAACAGACGGCAGAGGGAUAAGUGAAACAGACAAAAGACAAACAAGAUAAUAAUCUGUUUCCAAUCAGUUAAGCCCUGUAGAAUUUGUAAUACGCGGUUUGCAUAUUCCCCCUGUGUUUUGUAAUUAAUUAUCUAUCUGUUCGGAUGCUCCGCCGCCGACUCUGUAGAUAUUCCCAACUAUUUUUGGGGGUUGUAGGCGCCGGGGAAGGAGCGCGGAGCGGGGCCGGGCUCCGCGGCUCCGGCCGGCCCGAGGAUGCCGAGCCGGGCACGGGGGGAGGCGGCGGCUCCUCCGGCCGGCCGAGGCUGCUCCCCCCGCGCUCCCCUCCUUUCCCCUGCUAAGAGGGGGGACGGGGCAGGUUUUAACAUUAAACAAACCCAGCAAGCAUCUCCUCGCCGGGCCAUAGGCGUUUCUGAGUGACUGCGUUACAAAUUGUAAAUUUAAAUAGCUCACAGGA